CGAGUAUAAUGGUAAUGUUGACCCAAUUAUAAAGGCUCGUUUAACCCAUUUAAUAUUUUCGUAUACAUAUAUUAAUAUUUAGUCUAUCAAUGAAUUUUAAUUUAUUUAUUUGGACAUGCAUUUUAUUUUUUAGAGCAAUCGUGUCUUAUCUAAACAAAAACUCACCGAACAAAAAGGGGAAAAUGGUUUGAUCGAAGAAUCAAUUCCGAAAUUCUCAUAUAAUUCAGCUAUAUCGUCUCCGUUUAUACUCUGUGUUUUGCAAAUUGUGAAUUCUUUAAAGAGUUUGAAUAGAGAUCUUCGCCAAGGACUGUCAAGAAGCUAGAUCUUCGAUGGGUGAAGCUUCAUUUGCGAGUAACAUAAGAAUAUGGAGGAGGCUAUCACGUUUUGUCAUUGGAGCUAUUAAGAAAUCCUUAUGUAAAAGGAAAUCUCCAAUAAAAACAUUCGAUAAUUCCCAACCGAAUAUUUGGAGCCCAGGAUCCCCCGGAUCCGCGUGUUUAUCCGCCCCAAAAGCCAUGGAACCGACCCAAAAGCCCAAGAUCCGCGUGUUUAUGUCUUUCAAAUUAUCAGAUUUACCCUUUUACGAAUUUUAUUGUUUAUUCUUUGAAUGCAAAAAUUCUAAUGACAUUCAUCGUAAUAUUUUUACCAAAAUAAGGUUUUUUAUUAUCUAA
Long non-coding RNA from Arabidopsis lyrata subsp. lyrata, 668 nucleotides. RefSeq lists it as uncharacterized. The transcript is spliced from 4 exons. Lineage: Eukaryota; Viridiplantae; Streptophyta; Magnoliopsida; Brassicales; Brassicaceae. The record is from RefSeq and is a predicted model, not a curated record.